CAGAAACCUUCCAUGAAUGUUCCAUUCGCUUUAGUGAGUUGCAUGGCAUUUUAUUUUUAGAAAGGCACCUUUGUGAUUGUCAACUCAACUGCUCCAACGCAUGCUGCUGGAUGUUCCUCUUUUUUAUCCUUUCUCUUCUGCUAUAAUUUUAUUUUACCUUAUUUUCGCCUGCCUUCUUUUCCUUCCGACUUCAACUUGUCUUCCUGAGAAUCCAACGUCGG
RNAcentral lists this unclassified non-coding RNA (221 nucleotides) under Hevea brasiliensis (rubber tree). The record is from RNAcentral. Lineage: Eukaryota; Viridiplantae; Streptophyta; Magnoliopsida; Malpighiales; Euphorbiaceae.